Molecule: long non-coding RNA, 565 nt
Filed under: Fukomys damarensis (Damara mole-rat)
Lineage: Eukaryota; Metazoa; Chordata; Mammalia; Rodentia; Bathyergidae
Description: lncRNA (ENSFDAG00000026117.1)
Source: RNAcentral
CUCCUAAGGCAGGAGGAGGGUCUGGCGGAGGAGGGAGCUGGGUGGAGCGGAAGCUUUCCAAGGUGUGUGUGUUGGGGGUGAGGGCCAAGGAACAGCUGCGGGACCUAGCAAAAGUUAAGUUGGUGGUGGUGUUAUCGGACACGGUUUUAGGAGAAAGUCGGAAGAAGCCAGACCAUCUAAGCCCCGGGACAAGCCUCUCAGUCCUGCAGGCGCCUCACGAAACCCGGAUGUUCACCCCACCCUCACGGCCAGCACCACCUCAAGGGCCACCACCAGCUUUGCCUUGUUUCUAAACUUCUUCCCUUUCGUACCGGGGAUUGAACUCGGGUCCUUGCGCUUGCAGGGCAGGCGGCGGAACCACUGAGCUAAACUUCUUCCCUUGACUGACGCUCUUCACAAACCAGGGCAGCCUGACUCAGUCUGUGCGUGGCUGUGACUGUGGCGGGAACUUCUGGGCUUUGUCAGGAAGUGCUCCCCUCGAGCCUGUACAGCCUUCUCCUUUUGGUGCCCGGUGCCCCUAUCCCUGGAAGUCCACUGUGCGGGAACAAGAGAGACCAAGCAGGCA